This 465-nucleotide ribosomal RNA is filed under the name uncultured bacterium. RNAcentral describes it as "partial 16S ribosomal RNA". It matches the Rfam family "Bacterial small subunit ribosomal RNA", at positions 28 to 507 of the family's 1533-position model. The record is from RNAcentral.
GACGAACGCUGGCGGCGUGCUUAACACAUGCAAGUCGAACGGAAAGGCCCCUUUGGGGGUACUCGAGUGGCGAACGGGUGAGUAACACGUGAGUAACCUGCCCUUGACUUCGGGAUAACUUCAGGAAACUGGGGCUAAUACCGGAUAGGAAUCCUUGCUGCAUGGUGGGGGUUGGAAAGCUUCGGCGGUUUUGGAUGGACUCGCGGCUUAUCAGCUUGUUGGUGGGGUAGUGGCUUACCAAGGCUUUGACGGGUAGCCGGCCUGAGAGGGCGACCGGCCACAUUGGGACUGAGAUACGGCCCAGACUCCUACGGGAGGCAGCAGUGGGGAAUAUUGCACAAUGGGCGGAAGCCUGAUGCAGCAACGCCGCGUGCGGGAUGACGGCCUUUGGGUUGUAAACCGCUUUCAGCAGGGGCGAAGCUUGUGGUGACGGUACCUGCAGAAGAAGCACCGGCUAACUACGUG